RNAcentral lists this ribosomal RNA (188 nucleotides) under Micrococcus luteus. RNAcentral's name for it is "partial 16S ribosomal RNA". It matches the Rfam family "Bacterial small subunit ribosomal RNA", at positions 1350 to 1533 of the family's 1533-position model. The record is from RNAcentral. Lineage: Bacteria; Bacillati; Actinomycetota; Actinomycetes; Micrococcales; Micrococcaceae.
CAGAAUGCUACGGUGAAUACGUUCCCGGGCCUUGUACACACCGCCCGUCACACCAUGGGAGUGGGUUGCAAAAGAAGUAGGUAGCUUAACCUUCGGGGAGGGCGCUUACCACUUUUGUGAUUCAUGACUKGGGGUGAAGUCGUAACAAGGUAACCSGUAGGGGAACCUGCGGUUGGAUCACCUCCUUA